AUUGAACGCUGGCGGCAUGCUUUACACAUGCAAGUCGAACGGUAACAGGCCUUCGGGUGCUGACGAGUGGCGAACGGGUGAGUAAUGCAUCGGAACGUACCCAGAGGUGGGGGAUAACGCAGCGAAAGCUGUGCUAAUACCGCAUGUGAUCUGAGGAUGAAAGCGGGGGACUGAGCAGCAAUGUUUGGCCUCGCGCCUUUGGAGCGGCCGAUGUCGGAUUAGCUAGUUGGUGGGGUAAAGGCCUACCAAGGCGACGAUCCGUAGCUGGUCUGAGAGGACGACCAGCCACACUGGGACUGAGACACGGCCCAGACUCCUACGGGAGGCAGCAGUGGGGAAUUUUGGACAAUGGGCGCAAGCCUGAUCCAGCAAUGCCGCGUGCGGGAAGAAGGCCUUCGGGUUGUAAACCGCUUUUGGCAGGAACGAAACGGUGUCCGCUAAUACCGGGCGCUAAUGACGGUACCUGCAGAAUAAGCACCGGCUAACUACGUG
RNAcentral lists this ribosomal RNA (492 nucleotides) under uncultured bacterium. Its description in RNAcentral is "partial 16S ribosomal RNA". It matches the Rfam family "Bacterial small subunit ribosomal RNA", at positions 30 to 507 of the family's 1533-position model. The record is from RNAcentral.